RNAcentral lists this ribosomal RNA (497 nucleotides) under Estherella sp. EY2. Its description in RNAcentral is "partial 16S ribosomal RNA". It matches the Rfam family "Bacterial large subunit ribosomal RNA", at positions 1808 to 2606 of the family's 2925-position model. The record is from RNAcentral. Lineage: Eukaryota; Metazoa; Annelida; Clitellata; Crassiclitellata; Glossoscolecidae.
CAAAAACAUUACCUUAUGAUAUAUAAAUAUAAGGCAACUCCUGCCCAGUGAUAAAAUUUUCAACGGCCGCGGUAUCCUAACCGUGCAAAGGUAGCAUAAUAAUUUGCCUAUUAAUUGUAGGCUAGAAUGAAAGGAAAAACGAAAUAUGAACUGUCUAAAUUAAUAUAAUAUAAACUAUUAUCUAAUUGAAGAAAAUUAAAUAAAAUUGAAGGACAAGAAGACCCUGUAGAGCUUUAUUUGAAAAAGUUUAAACUUUUAUAAUUUGGUUGGGGCGACCUAAGAUUACAUAAAUCACCUUAAAAAAAAAGAUAUAUAAAUCCUGAAAAAGACCCUAAAUAAAGAUCACUAAACAUAGCUACCUCAGGGAUAACAGGCUAAUUAACCAAAGAGUUCUUAUCUGCGGGUAGAUUGGCACCUCGAUGUUGGCUUAGGAAUACAUAAUGGCGCAAAAUACAUUAAAAGUUGGUUUGUUCAACCAAUAACGUCCUACGUGAUCU